AUACCGGUCAGAUUUCUACUUACUAUUUCAGCUCCACUACGACCACUCAACAUUUCUCUACAUCAAGAAAUCAUCUAGUAUGUACCUAUAAUAAAAUAGACAGCAUCAUCCUCAAGAAGCAUGCGGCAGUAUAAAAUGAUAAAAGCGAUCCCAGUACAGGCGGCCGACACCACCACCCACACGUUUUUGGUUGUGUCCACCGCGGUGGUGGUGGUGGCGGCCAUCGUCUUCUACCUCGCCACCAGGGACUGGAAGGGAUGCACGUGCCCCGAGGAAGUGGACCUCGGCACCUUCCGAAGGAAUAUGAACAACGGCACACGCAAGAAAACCAUCGAGUACCAAGACCCCCCCUAUUACUCUUAAUGUUCAUUUGAAACAGAAUAAAUCCAAUUGAAACCACAAGA
Molecule: long non-coding RNA, 404 nt
Organism: Plutella xylostella (diamondback moth)
Lineage: Eukaryota; Metazoa; Arthropoda; Insecta; Lepidoptera; Plutellidae
Source: RefSeq, a predicted model, not a curated record